GAACCCCUACACACACUGCAAUCCCCACACACUGAACACACACACUGCACCCCUCACUGUAGUCUGUGUGUGUGUGUGUAUUCACCAGUCUGUGCACGUUGACCAGUCUGUGCGCGUGUAAUCACCAAUCUGUGUGUAUAUUCCGCAGUCUCUAUAUGUGUGUAUUCAGCAGCCAGUGUAUAUAUUCAGCAGUCUGUGUGUGUUUUUUGCGGUUUGUGUGUAUUUAGCAGUCUGUCUCUGUGUGUAAGUAUU
This is a non-coding RNA of Pelobates cultripes (western spadefoot toad), 252 nucleotides long. The record is from the annotation of a GenBank genome assembly. NCBI's taxonomy places the organism in Eukaryota, Metazoa, Chordata, Amphibia, Anura, Pelobatidae.